GGUUACGGCUCAGCGGUAGAGCGCUCGCCUUGCAUGUGCAAGGCCCUGGGUUCCAUCCUCAGCACCA
RNAcentral lists this transfer RNA (67 nucleotides) under Marmota monax (woodchuck). Its description in RNAcentral is "tRNA.Ala". The record is from RNAcentral. Lineage: Eukaryota; Metazoa; Chordata; Mammalia; Rodentia; Sciuridae.